UCCUUUACUGCAACCACUUUGAAAUUUCAUUCAAAAUGCAAGUGAUCAUUUAAUGAAUCAUAUUAUAAUGGGCCCGGUCCAUCUUCCGUCAUGCUUUGUGGCCUUGGAACACGUGGGUGGACCCAAAAUGUAUUCGAGUACGUGUUGGACUGCAAUCUAAAGCGCGUCAAGUCUUGAUGAAAAAUCAUGAAGUUGAGCAUUGGGCCACCAUGAGACUGUAAAACACGAUCAAUAAUUUCAACAGUUGUGUAGAUUCCCCCCAAAGAAGGAUAAACGCAAAGCAACGGAACCGUAGCCCACUUGUAUCUCCACUUGCUUGACAAGAUGCUCGUCCUCACCGCAUCUACAAUCGGCAAGUUCGACAGGAUUUGGUCCAUCACAUGCCCAGGUCGCUUUUGUAACCUCAAAUGAGCGGGGCAAGGAGGAAAGAUGGAAUCGCCAGAACGUCGACGAAGCUGUAUAUGAUGAAGUCAGAAAUUGAUCAAUAGGGGAUUUGCUGCUCAACCCUCGUCAGGGAAGAAGACGAUGACGAACAUCACCACAAACAAUACAGACUACGGGAGCAAAGAGAAGGUCGUCACUUUCAGGUUCCCAAGAAUGCCCAUAAUAUUGGUUAAUUGCAGUUUGCUCCUUUAAUUCCAUUUAGCCUCGAAAGUACUCUGGAAAGUUUAGGCUUUAGGCUUUUAGCGUCUAUUCAGUUGAACCCAGGACUCGGGUGAUAUUCUUUUUCUAUGCAAAAAGGCAAAAGGAAAAAGAAAUCUGUAAUGAACUUUCAGUUGACGGAACUUAAUCUGUAAUACAAAAGUAUGAUCAGGUCACCCCUCA
Non-coding RNA from Punica granatum (pomegranate), 825 nucleotides. NCBI's taxonomy places the organism in Eukaryota, Viridiplantae, Streptophyta, Magnoliopsida, Myrtales, Lythraceae. The record is from RefSeq and is a predicted model, not a curated record.